This 72-nucleotide transfer RNA is filed under the name Baeotus beotus. Its description in RNAcentral is "tRNA-His". Lineage: Eukaryota; Metazoa; Arthropoda; Insecta; Lepidoptera; Nymphalidae. The record is from RNAcentral.
ACUUAAAUAGUUUAAUAAAAAUAUUGAUUUGUGGAGUCAAAAAUAUGAGUAAAAUAAAUAUCAUUUUAAGUU